GUUUAGAUUGUCUGGUCUAAUUAGAUUACUCUAGAGUAACCACAUGAAUCGCUAAUGUUAUCCGCCUGCUUUUGAGACGGCGUGCUGCGGAGGGUGGUAGCGUAGGGUAGGGGUGUUAGGGGCCGUGGGCGUGACGUUGAUAAGGGACGGGCCAAGAAGGGGUCCGCUGUCGGGCGGCUACGGAGAGUAGGGGCGUGAGCAGCCGUUGGGGACGGGGUGUUCCGGCGCCGGGGGCGGCUAGGAGAAGACGGCCUGUGCUCUCGUCCGGCGUCGGGGUCGGCAAGGAGGAGACGAUGAAGUCCAUGCGGUCGCGGCUUGUCUGUCGUGCCGGCGGCGACGGCGGGCGGCGAGGAGUAGCAGACGUGGGUACUUCAACGACGUUAAUUCCACAGUGAGGUCAUCCUCCCCGCGAUUCCUUCCGCGUAGUCCGUGCAACAACGCCGCCGGCACUUCCGGCCUCUUCUCCACCUACCCAAAGAGUGUCAAAGACACCGAGCGCCACAAGUAGGCUGAGAGAUCUUAUUGAUCUUUUACUCAAGGGUGUUAAGGAUGUAGUUUCCAACAUAGAAAGUCGUGAAACAAUAACCCGCACGGAUGAAUGAUUAAGAUAAACUAUUCAGUUGGACCCUUUGACGCCUUACCACGACUUACUUCAACAAUUAUACUAAAGAAAACACAAACGAUGACUAUAUAGAGAUUUGAACGUAAAGAGACGAUACAAACAGACAGUCUCGACAACGAGCUAUUCCGACUGCACGUGGUUACAUUUGAAGUCUAACUCGAAUGUUGUGCCACUCCCAAAUGGAACUAAGACGUACUACGGCCUGAUGGUUGUAAAGUCUAAAGUGACGUUCGUGUAUAAAAAGAGACUUGAAACCUCGACUUAGUUCUCAUUGGUGACUCAUAAAGUCAAUAAAAGGCCGCUCAGUAUGAUGGAGUUAAUUUGACGGGGUCGUAGUAUAUAAAUCCUUACCUCCAUCAUGUAGUCUGAAUUACGUCUAGCUGGUCGACUUUCAAAUAAAAAUACUAUACAAAUAAUGAACCACUAAGGUCGACUACAUGUUGUUUUUAACACACUAGGUCGUACUACAAGAAGGACAAGAUGUCCAAGUAAGAUUACGUAAUACAAACCGACGGGGCAAGUGUCUAUAUGUCCAACUUAAGAAGCAAGAAAUAAUAUCCGGCCAAGUACACGAAACUGAACACUAGACCCAGCCGCGUAGAUAAUAAAAGCCAGCGUUUACACGCGAUCGAGUACGGAGAGAACCCACUAUAUUAGAAAAACCCCAAAGAGUAUUUGACGUCACAUACAUAAUACGUCUACUUGUUUUGGUAAGUCCAAGGCGUAGGUGGGUAGUCCAAGAGAUAAUAUGACGUCCUCCUUUAGGAAAGAAUAACUGGGAAGUUCGCCAUCAGAAAAUCUCCGUCGAAAACACGAAAAGGGAAGGCGACCUUGACGUACGUCUCAAACUCAAGUACCUCACGGAAACCGGAAGUCUUUCUUCUUCUUAUUUACAAAGCAGCAACUAGAAAGAAUACAAAGAUCCACGUAACAAAAUCCAAUACGGGAGUAUACGUCUCUACCUUUUAGUGUGUAAAACGUAGGUCGAAAGUUACCCUUAUUUAACUUAAAACAAAACUUCGAACGGCUACUUAGUUCUUAUAUAGAGACUUUCGACGAAGAAAAAACGUUUUUUUUUUUCUUCGACUAAAUUCGUAGUAACGUUAAGUUUUGGAUGUGUCAUAAAUAAAGACGUAAAUAAACUUCUACUCUUAUAUGACUGAAGUUAUAGCUCACAGCUAGGUAACAAAAGACGUCCAUUCAUAAUAAAAAAUAAAGGAUUUUUCCUAAACUUAUAGUAAAACUAGACAAUAACUGACUCCUAGUCGUAGAACAUGUCAUACUUAAAUACCAAGGAGGAAAAAAAUAGAGCCAGGAUUUUACAUGUCAUACUAAAAUACCUCACGUAAUACGGUUACCUAAUGACGUAAAAAUACAAUCAAAAAUCUGAUAAACUUACAUUCUUGAUAUGUAUUAGAGAAACUGUUAGAUGCCGUUUAGUAAAAGACGUGUCUUUUAAGUCAUGUACGAAGACACUUAUAGACGUUAUGUUCUUCGUAUUAACAAGAAUAUACAACCGGACGGCUAACCAUAACCGUCGGAACGUACGUACAAAAAUUUUAAGAAUUAGGUUCGCGGUGAAGACAUCAUUUAUUCGACUUGAAACUAAAUUUAUUGAUUUACAACCAAACGGCUUCAAAAGAACACUGGCUUGGUGACUUAAUACCUUGAAGGUAACACGUCAAAAAUGUAUACCAGUACGUCAGUAAAACCGAUAAAUAUACAUUGUUGUGUAACAGGUCAAACGUUCUGCAAGACAGAUAUCCAAGAAGACAUGAAUAGAACACAAAUUAUCCAAACUGACAACAAGGAGAUGAUAUGUUGAAGUAGAAAAUCAUAGCUGGUUAUGAAGUAUCAGUCAUGUACCAAGAAGUUAUGACACCAUUGUUAACUCCCCUUAUAAUCCCGAAAUACAAUAGAAUGGUAUUAUAGGUUAUUUUUACUAAGAGAAGAAGUUAUGGACAGAUUGGUGGAGACUGUACAAUAAACAACCGAAUCGGACAUGAGAAAAGUGUCUCUCCACAGCUCAACACUACGUUCCAAAACGGUACAACAACCACUUUUCUAUAGCUGUAGCUUCUGAUAUAUGAGCCUAGCGUACCGUACAAAUCCUUGGUACCGAGAUGAUGAUGAUGUGUAGGUGAUCGGUAACAUCAGUAGAUGACUUUAAAUCAGUUUUAGCUAUAAACAUUCAACUUUUAAAGAAAAACCGCCCGAUUUUCCUGCCUUCAACACGCCCUUCUCUGACAACAAUAAAUUUCGGUUAAUAACAACAACUCAGUGAAGGAGAAAGAGAACGACCAUACGCCAAUAGGUAUACUAUUGACAAUAACUUUUACGUUGAUGGAUGGGUUCGAGUCGUUCGUAAUUGAUAAAAAACAGAAGUAUCAAGUGAAAAUUAGAAGUAUAACGUCAUAAAUAAGUUAAUAAAUUAAAUUACCAGUGUAACGUCAUAAGGAACCUUGAGAUCUGACUGAACAUCCACUCAAUUAAUCCUUAGGUAAAGAUUAAAGACCCUACAGGCGUUUCGUUGGUUUGAACAUGACCCUCCCUGUAAGAACAACCGGAAGAUAAACUUCUUCGAGCGAUACAUGUGGUGUACAGUCUCACCAACAAGGGGAUGAGGUAUCCCUACACUAUGAGUCUCCGCAACCAACUCUGCUACUGCUGCCGUUUUCUCUAUCUACUAAUACUCUUCAAUCUGAACAUUCUCUUAUUAGUAUAAUGAUUGUUAUCUACAUCUAGAACUCAUCUAUCUUUGUAAUUUAUCACUAACAUUGGUUCAUGAACUUGUACAAUAAGUUCUAAAUAUCUUAUUUUUCCCGUGAUUACCAAACUUUGUACUUACGUUAUGGAAAAGAAACCACUUUUUAGUUGAAAAACAUAUGUUAUUAAGUAAAAUUUAUAAAGAACGACGAUAGUAUAAUAGGAAAAUGUAUGCUUAAAAG
This 3570-nucleotide ribosomal RNA is filed under the name Triticum aestivum (bread wheat). Its description in RNAcentral is "partial small subunit ribosomal RNA". Lineage: Eukaryota; Viridiplantae; Streptophyta; Magnoliopsida; Poales; Poaceae. The record is from RNAcentral.